GCUGUGCUUGGUGGCGCACGCCUGUAAUCCCAGCUACUCGGGAGGUUGAGGCAGGAGAAUUGCUUGAGCCCGGGAGGUGGAGCUUGCAGUGAGCCGAGAUCCUGCCACUGUACUCUUGGGUGACAGAGUGAGACCCUGUCUCAAAAAAAAAAAAAAAAAUUAAAAAAAAUUUUUAGUGAAUUAUUAUUAUUAUUAUUAUUUGAGAUGAAGUCUUGCUCUGUUGCCCAGGCUGGAGUGCAGUGGUGUGAUCUCGGCUCACUGCAAGCUCUGCCUCCCGGGUUCAAGCAAUUCUUCUGCCUCAG
Molecule: unclassified non-coding RNA, 302 nt
Organism: Macaca fascicularis (crab-eating macaque)
Lineage: Eukaryota; Metazoa; Chordata; Mammalia; Primates; Cercopithecidae
Rfam family: Metazoan signal recognition particle RNA
About the family: The signal recognition particle (SRP) is a universally conserved ribonucleoprotein. It is involved in the co-translational targeting of proteins to membranes. The eukaryotic SRP consists of a 300-nucleotide 7S RNA and six proteins: SRPs 72, 68, 54, 19, 14, and 9.
Source: Ensembl